UCCUCUUUCUCAUUUUCCUGCCGCCGCCUCCUCCUCCUCUCCUCUGCCCGAAUUCUCCUACCUCCGUCAUCGCCGCCGCCGCCGCCGUCGACCUAGACGUCACCUGCUGAGACCGCUGUGGUAUGGAUAAGGAGACGAGAGGAAGAGGACAUCCUUAAGUGGUGGAUCUGACGGUUACCGGAAUCCCUCAACGCCGGAGGAAGGCGUGCGACCGGCAAAGAAACCCGGUGAUGGAGCAGGAUGAGGUGGCAGUUCAAGUUCGGCUGCCUUCGCGUGUUGUGGUUGCGGGCGCUCCACUUCCUUUCCCACCUGCCCUGGUGAGUCGUCCUUGAUCUAAAUAUUUAAUCCCCGCACUGAUUUGUUUUUGUUAUACAGUAUGGGGGUCUGCAGAUUAUCCUUCCAAGGAGGCCACAAAGAGCAGCGAUGGCUUCUUGGUAAUCUGCGAUUGGCCACAAAGGAUGAGGUACAUGGAGAUUGCCAGCUACCUUCCGUUGGGUGUAUAUGCACGCUACAGAGAAAACCAAAUCUGCACCAUGCCGAUAUGCUUCAUGAUGAGUGUGCUUUUAGCAUCCCUCACCCUCUCAGCCUUGCAGAUGGCCAUUAGGUGCCGACCAAGAGGUGUACCCCAUGAAUCAAACUGCGAGGGGGCAUACAAUAAUUAGGAGGGCAUGGCUAUCGCUGCGGAGCUACCCUCCCCCUCAAUCAUGCACUUGUGCUUUCCAAACGCAGUUCGCUGCUGCUGUUUAAUUAGCUCCUGCAUUAGCAGUGGAUUCAGAGUUUAUUCUUCAGCAGAUUCAAUUUGCAGGAGACUCCUGUUGCAGUUUGGUGACAUAGACUGAAUCUGCUCGGCAAAGUGUAAAAAGGCAAUUACUGCUCGGCAAAGUGUAAAAAAGGCCAGGCUAUCAUUUAUGUAGUUAUUUGGAAUGCCAAGUUAGGAAUUAGAUCCAAGAAAUAAGAUGAGAAGAGGAAUCUAGCAAAGGAAGGUGAAUAUUUUCUCUUGUGAAUACAACAAGAUUAUUGAAGAUUUUUGCUGCCAUGGAAUUGUGAGUUUGUGACUAUACAUUCUUGUGUCCUACAUGUGAAUUGAAGAUAUAUUGUCUCUGUAUGUGAAUGUAAAUAUCCAGGUAAAUGUGAUGAUUCAUAAAUUAGCCAGUUGGAGAUCGGUAGACAGUCAGGUGUAUUGAUAACUGGAGUUUAGUGCUCAAAAUCCUUCAAACUUUUCCACAGGCUGUAUUUUCUUGACAUUUAAGAGAAGAAUGAGUACUGUUAGUCAUUAUCUAUCAUGUAUAAUAGUACAAUAUUGGAGAUGUGAAUGGAAAUGUUCAUUUA
This is an RNA transcript of Triticum dicoccoides, 1329 nucleotides long. RefSeq lists it as uncharacterized. The record is from RefSeq and is a predicted model, not a curated record. NCBI's taxonomy places the organism in Eukaryota, Viridiplantae, Streptophyta, Magnoliopsida, Poales, Poaceae. The transcript is spliced from 8 exons.